GACGAACGCUGGCGGCGUGCUUAACACAUGCAAGUCGAACGGAAAGGCCCUGCUUUUGUGGGGUGCUCGAGUGGCGAACGGGUGAGUAACACGUGAGUAACCUGCCCUUGACUUUGGGAUAACUUCAGGAAACUGGGGCUAAUACCGGAUAGGAGCUCCUGCUGCAUGGUGGGGGUUGGAAAGUUUCGGCGGUUGGGGAUGGACUCGCGGCUUAUCAGCUUGUUGGUGGGGUAGUGGCUUACCAAGGCUUUGACGGGUAGCCGGCCUGAGAGGGUGACCGGCCACAUUGGGCCUGAGAUACGGCCCAGACUGCUACGGGAGGCAGCAGUGGGGAGUAUUGCACAAUGGGCGGAAGCCUGAUGCAGCGACGCCGCGUGCGGGAUGACGGCCUUCUGGUUGUAAACCGCUUUCGCCUGUGACGAAGCGUGAGUGACGGUAAUGGGUAAAGAAGCACCGGCUAACUACGUG
RNAcentral lists this ribosomal RNA (468 nucleotides) under uncultured bacterium. RNAcentral's name for it is "partial 16S ribosomal RNA". It matches the Rfam family "Bacterial small subunit ribosomal RNA", at positions 28 to 507 of the family's 1533-position model. The record is from RNAcentral.